Molecule: ribosomal RNA, 468 nt
Filed under: uncultured bacterium
Lineage: Bacteria
Description: partial 16S ribosomal RNA
Rfam family: Bacterial small subunit ribosomal RNA
Source: RNAcentral
GACGAACGCUGGCGGCGUGCUUAACACAUGCAAGUCGAACGGAAAGGCCCUGCUUUUGUGGGGUGCUCGAGUGGCGAACGGGUGAGUAACACGUGAGUAACCUGCCCUUGACUUUGGGAUAACUCCAGGAAACUGGGGCUAAUACCGGAUAGGAGCUCCUGCUGCAUGGAGGGGGUUGGAAAGUUUCGGCGGUUGGGGAUGGACUCGCGGCUUAUCAGCUUGUUGGUGGGGUAGUGGCUUACCAAGGCUUUGACGGGUAGCCGGCCUGAGAGGGUGACCGGCCACAUUGGGACUGAGAUACGGCCCAGACUCCUACGGGAGGCAGCAGUGGGGAAUAUUGCACAAUGGGCGGAAGCCUGAUGCAGCAACGCCGCGUGCGGGAUGACGGCCUUCGGGUUGUAAACCGCUUUCGCCUGUGACGAAGCGUGAGUGACGGUAAUGGGUAAAGGAGCACCGGCUAACUACGUG